GCAAACUUGGUCAUUUAGAGGAAGUAAAAGUCGUAACAAGGUUUCCGUAGGUGAACCUGCGGAAGGAUCAUUAAUGAUUUGAAAAAAAAAAGUAAGCUCAUGAAAAUGAGGUUUACUUUUUUAAACUUUACAUUUUAACCCCUGUUUUAAAAAUGUUUACUAGAGUGUUUAUAGAGUUAUAACUGUAAUGGUUGUAAUGAUUUAUAAAAAAAAAGUUUUAUAAUAAAACUUUCAGCAAUGGAUCUCUUGGUUCAGGCAUCGAUGAAGAACGCAGC
RNAcentral lists this unclassified non-coding RNA (275 nucleotides) under uncultured fungus. RNAcentral describes it as "partial contains small subunit ribosomal RNA, internal transcribed spacer 1, and 5.8S ribosomal RNA". The stretch from base 1 to 73 matches the Rfam family "Eukaryotic small subunit ribosomal RNA", at positions 1759 to 1831 of the family's 1831-position model. Lineage: Eukaryota; Fungi. The record is from RNAcentral.